GAUGAACGCUGGCGGCGUGCCUAAUACAUGCAAGUCGAGCGAAGAGACGAGGAGCUUGUUCCACUUACAUUAGCGGCGGACGGGUGAGUAACACGUGGAGAACCUACCUAUAAGACUGGGAUAACUUCGGGAAACCGGUGCUAAUACCGGAUAAUAUCUUUAACCGCAUGUUUCAAUAGUGAAAGACGGUAUUGCUUUCACUUAUAGUGGUCUCCGCGCCGCAUUAGCUGUUUGGUAAGGUAACGGCUUCCCAGGGGAAGGAUCAUAAGCCAACUGGGGGGGGUGAUCGGCCAAACGGGAACUGAGACACGCUCAAGCCUCCUACGGGAGGAACCAGAAGGGAACCUUCCGCAAUGAGCGAAAGCCUGACGGGGCAACGCCGCGUGAGGAAUGAAGGUCUCCGGUUCGUAAACCUCGUUGAUAAGGGAAGAACAAAUGUGUAAGUAACUACGCACGAAUUGACGGUACCUAAUCAGAAAGCGACGGCUAACUACGUG
RNAcentral lists this ribosomal RNA (497 nucleotides) under uncultured bacterium. Its description in RNAcentral is "partial 16S ribosomal RNA". It matches the Rfam family "Bacterial small subunit ribosomal RNA", at positions 28 to 507 of the family's 1533-position model. The record is from RNAcentral.